CCUACGGGAUGCACCAGUGGGGAAUAUUGCACAAUGGGCGCAAGCCCGAUGCAGCCAUGCCGCGUGUAUGAAGAAGGCCUUAGGGUUGUAAAGUACUUUCAGUUGGGAGGAAGGCGUUGAUGCUAAUAUCAUCAGCGAUUGACGUUACCAACAGAAGAAGCACCGGCUAACUCCGUGCCAGCAGCCGCGGUAAUACGGGGGGUGCAAGCGUUAAUCGGAAUUACUGGGCGUAAAGCGCACGCAGGCGGUCUGUCAAGUCGGGUGUGAAAUCCCCGGGCUCAACCUGGGAACUGCAUUAGAAACUGGCAGGCUGGAGUCUUGUAGAGGGGGGUAGAAUUCCAGGUGUAGCGGUGAAAUGCGUAGAGAUCUGGAGGAAUACCGGUGGCGAAGGCGGCCCCCUGGACAAAGACUGACGCUCAGGUGCGAAAGCGUGGGGAGCAAACAGGAUUAGAUACCCGCGUAGUC
This 465-nucleotide ribosomal RNA is filed under the name uncultured bacterium. RNAcentral's name for it is "bacterial SSU rRNA". It matches the Rfam family "Bacterial small subunit ribosomal RNA", at positions 338 to 795 of the family's 1533-position model. The record is from RNAcentral.